AGGCAUUGAGGCAGCCAGCGCAGGGGCUUCUGCUGAGGGGGCAGGCGGAGCUUGAGGAAACCGCAGAUAAGUUUUUUUCUCUUUGAAAGAUAGAGAUUAAUACAACUACUUAAAAAAUAUAGUCAAUAGGUUACUAAGAUAUUGCUUAGCGUUAAGUUUUUAACGUAAUUUUAAUAGCUUAAGAUUUUAAGAGAAAAUAUGAAGACUUAGAAGAGUAGCAUGAGGAAGGAAAAGAUAAAAGGUUUCUAAAACAUGACGGAGGUUGAGAUGAAGCUUCUUCAUGGAGUAAAAAAUGUAUUUAAAAGAAAAUUGAGAGAAAGGACUACAGAGCCCCGAAUUAAUACCAAUAGAAGGGCAAUGCUUUUAGAUUAAAAUGAAGGUGACUUAAACAGCUUAAAGUUUAGUUUAAAAGUUGUAGGAUGAAACAAUUUGGAGAAGAUAGAAGUUUGAAGUGGAAAACUGGAAGACAGAAGUACGGGAAGGCGAAGAAAAGAAUAGAGAAGAUAGGGAAAUUAGAAGAUAAAAACAUACUUUUAGAAGAAAAAAGAUAAAUUUAAACCUGAAAAGUAGGAAGCAGAAGAAAAAAGACAAGCUAGGAAACAAAAAGCUAAGGGCAAAAUGUACAAACUUAGAAGAAAAUUGGAAGAUAGAAACAAGAUAGAAAAUGAAAAUAUUGUCAAGAGUUUCAGAUAGAAAAUGAAAAACAAGCUAAGACAAGUAUUGGAGAAGUAUAGAAGAUAGAAAAAUAUAAAGCCAAAAAUUGGAUAAAAUAGCACUGAAAAAAUGAGGAAAUUAUUGGUAACCAAUUUAUUUUAAAAGCCCAUCAAUUUAAUUUCUGGUGGUGCAGAAGUUAGAAGGUAAAGCUUGAGAAGAUGAGGGUGUUUACGUAGACCAGAACCAAUUUAGAAGAAUACUUGAAGCUAGAAGGGGAAGUUGGUUAAAAAUCACAUCAAAAAGCUACUAAAAGGACUGGUGUAAUUUAAAAAAAACUAAGGCAGAAGGCUUUUGGAAGAGUUAGAAGAAUUUGGAAGGCCUUAAAUAUAGUAGCUUAGUUUGAAAAAUGUGAAGGACUUUCGUAACGGAAGUAAUUCAAGAUCAAGAGUAAUUACCAACUUAAUGUUUUUGCAUUGGACUUUGAGUUAAGAUUAUUUUUUAAAUCCUGAGGACUAGCAUUAAUUGACAGCUGACCCAGGUGCUACACAGAAGUGGAUUCAGUGAAUCUAGGAAGACAGCAGCAGACAGGAUUCCAGGAACCAGUGUUUGAUGAAGCUAGGACUGAGGAGCAAGCGAGCAAGCAGCAGUUCGUGGUGAAGAUAGGAAAAGAGUCCAGGAGCCAGUGCGAUUUGGUGAAGGAAGCUAGGAAGAAGGAAGGAGCGCUAACGAUUUGGUGGUGAAGCUAGGAAAAAGGAUUCCAGGAAGGAGCGAGUGCAAUUUGGUGAUGAAGGUAGCAGGCGGCUUGGCUUGGCAACCACACGGAGGAGGCGAGCAGGCGUUGUGCGUAGAGGAUCCUAGACCAGCAUGCCAGUGUGCCAAGGCCACAGGGAAAGCGAGUGGUUGGUAAAAAUCCGUGAGGUCGGCAAUAUGUUGUUUUUCUGGAACUUACUUAUGGUAACCUUUUAUUUAUUUUCUAAUAUAAUGGGGGAGUUUCGUACUGAGGUGUAAAGGGAUUUAUAUGGGGACGUAGGCCGAUUUCCGGGUGUUGUAGGUUUCUCUUUUUCAGGCUUAUACUCAUGAAUCUUGUCUGAAGCUUUUGAGGGCAGACUGCCAAGUCCUGGAGAAAUAGUAGAUGGCAAGUUUGUGGGUUUUUUUUUUUUACACGAAUUUGAGGAAAACCAAAUGAAUUUGAUAGCCAAAUUGAGACAAUUUCAGCAAAUCUGUAAGCAGUUUGUAUGUUUAGUUGGGGUAAUGAAGUAUUUCAGUUUUGUGAAUAGAUGACCUGUUUUUACUUCCUCACCCUGAAUUCGUUUUGUAAAUGUAGAGUUUGGAUGUGUAACUGAGGCGGGGGGGAGUUUUCAGUAUUUUUUUUUGUGGGGGUGGGGGCAAAAUAUGUUUUCAGUUCUUUUUCCCUUAGGUCUGUCUAGAAUCCUAAAGGCAAAUGACUCAAGGUGUAACAGAAAACAAGAAAAUCCAAUAUCAGGAUAAUCAGACCACCACAGGUUUACAGUUUAUAGAAACUAGAGCAGUUCUCACGUUGAGGUCUGUGGAAGAGAUGUCCAUUGGAGAAAUGGCUGGUAGUUACUCUUUUUUCCCCCCACCCCCUUAAUCAGACUUUAAAAGUGCUUAACCCCUUAAACUUGUUAUUUUUUACUU
Homo sapiens (human) is the source of this 2310-nucleotide long non-coding RNA. Ensembl annotates it as metastasis associated lung adenocarcinoma transcript 1. Its record names the gene MALAT1. The record is from Ensembl. Lineage: Eukaryota; Metazoa; Chordata; Mammalia; Primates; Hominidae.